GAAUUAUUGUUAGCUGAGAUGCAUCUUAAAAGCUCCUUGAAAGAGGUACCUGACUUUUGGUUUUGCUGCCCACUAUAUAUAGUUCAUGAGGAAAUAUCGCAAAAUCUCAACCAUUCUGGCACCUAUAUCACUUAACCACCACUUUUGGAAAAAAAAUCAUAUGACCACCAUUAUAGCCAGGGGACUGUGUCUUAAAGCCGAAUUAUUACCCCUUAGGUCUCUUAACAGCCUUGGCCCACAUGUGCUGAGUAGGCAAUGAUCCGUCCUGUAACGCAGCCAUGUAGCAGAUGGACGAGGCACGAGUUGAGGCCGACCAGCCGGUGUAGAGCGUGCUCUCCCGCGUCUCUCGCCUCCCUGCUAUUAUUUUUCCUGCCAAGAAAACUUUCGAGUUGCUGCCAUCCGCCGCAUCCGAGUACGCCAUAAUGGAGCGGUGAAGAAUGGAUAAUGUUCAGUGAGCAGCCAAGCAACUCAAGCAGCUCGAUAAGUUCCAAGUUGGGGAUGAAGGUCAAGAGUAAUCUUUUAACAGCAUGUGCUCUCAAAUAGGUCAAGCAUUGAAGUGUGGUGCAAUGAAAUUACAACAAUGAUGCUACGGCUGCAUAGGAUCAUUGCUCUGGCUGUCCUGCAGCGUGACCGAUGGACCGUGCUGCUGUAACACCUGGUUUGACAGUUUGUAAAACCGAAAGUUUAGCUGUAUAUCUUUUUCAGACCACACAUUUAUUGAAUUGUAGAGACUAAGUGUUUGAUUGGUAUUGGGGAUUUGCUUUGUAAGUGGCCGAGUUGAAACGGGCUGAACUGAGUUCCACAAAUGAAGUGAGCGACAGCAGCACUCUCGUGUGGCUUAUACUGUGGCUAGGUCAGGCUCAACCCGCGAUUCGUCGAUCUACCUGCUGGUGGUGCUUCUCUGCCUCCUCAGCACUGGCAUAUGGGAGCAAGCAGUCGGUAGGGCUGUUAAGAGCCUGGACGUGUGAGAUCUGGGCUUUGAGACACAGGCUGCCCAUAGAUUGGUGGUAAAAAGCAACGUUGAUACCUCAACAGUUGUGGUUUUGCAAUAUUUACUAUUAAUUCUUGAAUGAUCGCAAGGAUGUAGAGUAUAGCCAUCUUUAACAACAAAAUUUAGUUCAUGAACAUGUGAAAUACAGAUCAGGAAUGACACGACGAAAAGAAAGCCAUGCCAUUUAUAAUAACUGACCCAUUUCUCUCAGUACUGGAAUUUGAGAAGUUCUCCCUGAUAAUAAAAUAUUGAUCUUAUCUUAUGUAGGCCAUGGACUUCGUAGAUUCAGAGGAGUAUAAACAACUUGCUGACUGCCUUGUUGAAUUAAAGGACCUGAUUGGUGCUGCCUAGACUUAUUGAGGUAGGUUUGAGUUUUUUUCUCUAUUUUAGGCUUGAAUUUUUAUCUCUUUGUUUUCUUUUACUUGCAAUUUCUUUGGCUGAGGCUGUUAAUAUUCUCGGUAUCUUGUCCUGAGACUUGUGGUGCAGUGGGCACUGGUCUUAGAAAGUGGGAAAUAUGUUUCUGGGUUAUCUUCGUACUCCCGCAGUUCCUGAAAGUAAGGCAUAUAUUUUUUCCCAGAAGUCAAAUAAUACAAUGUUUGACUAACUUUUUGGAAAAAAACGACCAAAAUCUAUAAUACUACAUUGACAUGAAAUAAAAAUACAUUAUAUUAUGUAUUUAACUGUAUUGAUUUGGUAUUGUAGACAUUAAUAGUUUUUCCAAAAACUUGGUCAAACUUCACACAGUUUGACUUUAAAAAAAAUUAGUUGGCCUUACUUUUAGGAGCGUAAGAAGUAUUUUUCCAACAAAUUGUCGUUUGUGCAAAUGCAUUGUUUGACAUAAAUCUGUAAGUAACUUGGCAAAACCAUAAAGGUAUAAACCAACAAAUAUCAAUUAGUGGUGGCUACUGCCAGCUGCGCAUGCAUGUGUACCCAUUAUAACAACUUUUGUUGUAACCAUGCACCACUGUACCAAAUUAUUGUACAAGCUAGUUUCUACGUUUGAAGAAUAAAUGAGUUAUCUCCAGCUGCAAAGCUUCGUGUUGAUGCAAUAAUGCUAUUUGUUUUCGCCUUUAGGCAGGAUACCUAGAAUGCAUAGCGCACUGUUGCUAAUUGAAGUUCCCAUGUCUAGCAUUGCCGUAGCUGGCAGGUGCAUGUCAAUGCUCUAAUUGGAAGAUGUGUGGAUGUUUUUCUCCUGUAAAUACCGAUAUGGAUGGUCCAGUUUAUGAUGCUGUUUCUUUUUCUUGGUAGAUCUGACUUGUGAAUCAAGGCCGGGUACUUGGGUCACACAAUCCUGAUUGGUGAAAUCUUGGUUUCGUUGAUGAACAUUGUCAUAUGUCGGCGCAUGGUUGAUUUCGGGAGCAUUUCUUGAGGAAAUUAAGAUACCAAGUUUUAUGUGCAAACUUAAGGCGUAUAUGUUAGUUUGGCAUCAAAACUAAACCUCCGUGUAUUGAUUCAUUUAUGCAUGUUGUUUGUAGAAAUAUGAUCCAAGGGAUGCUAUAUUU
This 2493-nucleotide long non-coding RNA is filed under the name Triticum aestivum (bread wheat). RNAcentral describes it as "long non-coding RNA (TAES_LNC017890)". Lineage: Eukaryota; Viridiplantae; Streptophyta; Magnoliopsida; Poales; Poaceae. The record is from RNAcentral.